CCUUAGUUACCAGCACGUUAAGGUGGGCACUCUAAGGAGACUGCCGGUGACAAACCGGAGGAAGUGGGAUGACGUCAAGUCAUCAUGGCCCUUAGGCCUGGGCUACACACGUGCUACAAUGGUCGGUACAAAGGGUUGCCAAGCCGCGAGGUGGAGGCUAAUCCCAUAAACCGAUCGUAGUCCGGAUCGCAGUCUGCAACUCGACUGCCGUGAAGUCGGAAUCGCUAGUAAUCGCAGAUCAGCAUGCUCGCGGUCGAAUACGUUCCCGGGCCUU
This 274-nucleotide ribosomal RNA is filed under the name uncultured Pseudomonas sp. RNAcentral's name for it is "partial 16S ribosomal RNA". It matches the Rfam family "Bacterial small subunit ribosomal RNA", at positions 1109 to 1382 of the family's 1533-position model. The record is from RNAcentral. Lineage: Bacteria; Pseudomonadati; Pseudomonadota; Gammaproteobacteria; Pseudomonadales; Pseudomonadaceae.